CAGUGAGCUAUGAUUGCGCCGCCACACUCCAUUCUGGGUCACAGAGUGGAUCCUGCCUCAAAAAGAAAAAGAAAAGGAAAACAUUCGGCUCAGUGAAAGAAGCCAGACACAACAGGCCACACACUAGGUGAUUUCACUCAUAGGAAAUGUCCAGAAUAAGCAAAUACAUAGACAGAAAAUAGAUGAGUGGUUUCCUGGGUCUUGGGGAAUGGGAAGAUUGGGGUGAUAAAAAUGUGCUAAAAUUGUUUGUGGUGAUGGUUGAACAACUGUGAAUAUACGAGAAGCCGUUGAAUUGUACAUUGUAAGUGGGUGACUUGUUGGUAUGUGGAUUAUAUCUUUAUAAGGCUGUUAAACCCAAUGGGGGGAAGUGCAGGCGGUCCUGAUGAAUUCCCACUACCAAGGUUGUCUGUUGUCCUGCCCACCAGUCAUAGACAAAGGUGUCCAUUUUCUCUUGUCCUCACCAGUCCUGAUGUCAGUCAACCUUUUGUCAAUCUGGC
RNAcentral lists this long non-coding RNA (497 nucleotides) under Homo sapiens (human). Its description in RNAcentral is "HSALNT0227146". The record is from RNAcentral. Lineage: Eukaryota; Metazoa; Chordata; Mammalia; Primates; Hominidae.